This is a non-coding RNA of Pimephales promelas (fathead minnow), 967 nucleotides long. The record is from RefSeq and is a predicted model, not a curated record. Lineage: Eukaryota; Metazoa; Chordata; Actinopteri; Cypriniformes; Leuciscidae.
ACAGACUAGUUUUUCAAGUUUGUCGUCUUAGCAUUGUCUUUUGAGGGUAGAAGAUUCAAGCUUGAUUUGACUUUAGAAACUAGUAGACUAACAUAAAACAAGGUCAAUUUUGGUAACACUUUAUAUUGAUGGUCCCUAUUGAACAUUCUGUAACAUUCUGACUAUCAGAAACUUUGCAACUAUUAUACAUGUCAACUUAUUCUAACCAUAACUCUACCAGUCUACUAAUACUUGUUGAAAUGUGUGAAGUAAGUCUUUAAAAGGUUUGAGGAAGGAAGGUCACUACCCUUAAAAUGACCGUAAGUGAGGAUGAAGAGGACCCAUCUGACAAACAAUUCUCAGAGCAAACAGAAGGUUCUGGACCUGAUGUCUAUCAGAUGCCAAGAUCAGCUUCUCCGCAUCUGAGCAGUGUGUCCAUAAAGUCGGAGGAAUCCUUUGAUUUUCUUACACCUCAUUUCAGUGAUGGAUCUAAGGCCUCUGAACUCGGGAGCGAGAUGAAGACAGAGGCACAUCCCCAGGUCCGACGACUCAACAAAGUUCAAUCUUUCUGCAUUUAGUGAUCACUCUGACCCUUUUUUUUAACCUUUCUUUUAUUUCGUAUUAUCAAGUGCAGUCAUACAGUACGUCACAAAUGAACAUUUCCAAUAAUGAUGGUGCAGUAAAGUGUCAUGGGUAAGUCUAUAGAACAGCACAGAGGUUAUCUCUGCAGUACCACAUAUACAUUUGGUAGAUAGUACAGAAUUUUUUUUACAAUACAUAUGACCAUUGAUAGAAAAAUGAAAUAAGAGUAAGAAAAAUAUAGUCUGCAUAAUAGUCAUAUCCAAUGAAUAUGUUGGACAAUUGAAGACCUCUGCUUUCAGUUGUAAUAAUGCCGUUGUAUACUCCAUGUUAUAAACAUCCUGUAUUCUUUGUGCAACUGUUGAGGAGGCUGUGAUCACCGUAUCUGCUAUUAAAAUAUGGUUUCUCA